AGCUACUAAGAUAAAAACACAGUUCUGGUUGGUAGUCCAGACGCAAAAAAUCCAUUUUUUGUCAGUAACCUUCCUCCUUGGUUGUCCAUUCUUAGGGAUUUUUAA
Regulatory RNA element from Streptococcus gordonii str. Challis substr. CH1, 105 nucleotides. It matches the Rfam family "azaaromatic riboswitch aptamer (yjdF RNA)". Lineage: Bacteria; Bacillati; Bacillota; Bacilli; Lactobacillales; Streptococcaceae. The record is from Rfam.